UUACCCAAAGGAAAAAGAAAAUUACACACACAAAAACACACAAAAAAUCCAAUUUACCGCCUACCUGUAUGCGGUUCAUUCUCAUCUCACCAAAAAUUUCUCCAUAAACCUAAACUAAUAUUUUCAUUCCAAUUCCCCCAAUCCAAAAUUUUAAGAUUUCCUUUCAAUUCAAAAUCGUCGAUCAAUUCCCUUCGAAAUUGGCCGAGUUUAUUUGUGAUUUUGCUAGCGUCACCUUCGACAAACCUAUACAACGACGACGAAAUUCAGUUGCGCAGGAUUUGGAUUACUUCUUCUUCUUGUUAAAUUGCUCAGAAAUUUGUUGUGCAUUAUAAAUUAUAAAUUGUGAAUUGUUUUAAGAGGAUGCAGUCCAAGAGGGUUUUGAGGGAGCUGAGAAGAUAGGAGUGUCCUACAUCUCGGAAUGCAGGUAAAAUUAAUUUAUCAUCAAUCUUGUAAAAUAGCGUUUGUAUGGAACCUGUGAAUUUGAUUAUGAUUUUAUUUAUAUCCUGUAACUAUUGAUUUCCAGAGAUAUGAGUGUCUUUGCCUCUCUUAGUGUCUUUGCCUCUCUUAAUGUCAUCGCAUCUUCUAACCCAUGGCUUUCCUAGUGUAGCUUUAAUGUUAUUAACCGGUGUAUCAAUGUCUGUGGAUUUUAAGCUACCGUGUAGACAUGGUUGUCAUGAACUUUUUCCAUGUGUCACGAAGUAGCUAUCUAGUUGAAUUUGGUUUUUUAGUUCCUUCUUAUUAUUGCAAGUCCCGAGUCUGUUUGGUCAUUGCUUCCGAACAUCUUGACAAUGGUGAAACACAAAUGGGACCAGUUGCUAUCAUAAUAUAAAAUACGAACUAUUGAAGUUGGUAUUUUCAUAUUUAUGCCAAGAGAUAAAAUUUGUAAUAUGUUACCUUCAAGGGGGUACACACCGUAAUGCUGCCAAGAAGUCUGCCAAGCUCAUGUAAAAACAUUGCAAUACUGUAUUCCUGUUCGGAAAGGCAAAUUUGUUUAGUGUCGGGGAUGUUGUCUCCUGCACAUAUGUUUAACCAAUGAUUGUCGGGAGAGAGUUCUACGGUUUCUUUGAAGGAGAAACAUCAGAAGAUCUUGCAGGUCAGGGUAAGUGUUUAUAAACCAUUAAAAUAAGUUUUAAGUUCUAAUGGUGAACUAUUAUUCUCUGCUUGCGUUUCUGAUUAGUGUACAAUAAUGGUUUUAUGGUGCAAAGUUGUGAUUUUAACAUUGUAAACACUGUACAUUACAUGAUCUCUUUCUUGCUUCCUCGGUGCAAGAUUUCAACCAAGGUAUUCAUUUACAAAUGAUUCUAAUUUGUUAAACUUGAUUGCCCCAUAACAAUGAAGAAUAAAGUGCAUUGAUCUUGAAAGAUUGAGGGUUAUGUGCAGUUUAUGUGUAUAGUAUCUGUCACGUAUGAGACACAUAUCUUUUCUCCUCCCCAAUAUGUGUAUAAUAUAUGACCUGUAUCUAGUCACUGCUCAGGUUAAGCCUAAGACUUUAAAUAUCAGGAUCAUUUUGUGCUGAUCCUAGCUAUAUAAAUCCGCUUUCAAAUGUCGAGUGCCUCAAGGCUCAUAUCAGAUCUUGUCACCAAUAUGUAAACUGUGAGGUUUGUGGUUCCAAGCGCCCAAGGAAAAAUUGCAAGUGUCACCUCUUAACUCAUGGGGAGCACUUACCCACCGUACUAAAAUGCAGUUUUGAGGGUUGUGACCACUCAUUUACCAAGAAAUCAAAUAUGCAGUUGAUGAGACGAAAAAAAUCUGGUGCUUUCAACAGAUCUCCUUCAAGAUUCUGUAAUUUUAUUUCAAGAGAUCUAUCAAGGGUCGACCUUUUUGCCCGAGUUUGGAUGAUACCAUAUAUAUAUAUAUAUAUAUAUAUAUAUAUAUAUAUAUAUAUAUAUCCUUGUCCUUGGGCGUCUAGAUGUCUUUCUUUCGUGAAGAUUAAAGGGCUUGAUAAAGCAAUAAGUUUCACGGUAACAUGGACGUCUAUAGUUGCUAAAACAAUCGCUUUUAUAGUUCUAUGUAGAAAUACGCUAGCUUAGUAGUACACAUCAUUUCCUUAAACUUGCAGUAGGUCAAACCCAAAUGGAAGGUGAUGCACAUAUGGGAUAGGUUUUCCUUGACUCUGAUAUGGAAGAAUCUGGUGCUGAGCUCGAUCCAUUGCAUGGAGUAAAAUCUAUCAGAGACCUUUAUGAGCUUGCUAGUGCUAAUUACUCUGGAAAAUUUACCGUGCAUGUAUGUAUCAUUCAUUCUAUGACGAUUUUAAUUAUGAUAUUUCUUUACCCUGUCGUUUGAUUUACAAGUUGGUUUUCUACUUGGAGAGUACAGGUUAUAUCCCAAAUUUUUGUGGUAUUAUGGGGAACUGCAAAUUAGUGCAGGUCUGAACUCUGAAAGGACCUAUACCCAGCUUGAUAUGGUAAUUCAGUCAAAUGUUAGUUUACACCUCUCCUGUUAUCUAAGGGCAUGUCACUUGUAGUGAAUGAUUAUUUUCAGAACUAGUCUCUUCAUUUAGAUUACUUUUGGACUACUUUGAGUUUAUUUGAGAGAUUAUGCUACAAUAUUCAUGAUCUCUGUCUAGGCUACACGUGGGAAACUGAUCAUUAACUAAUUUGUAGGUUCAAGAUAUUAUUGUGUCAAAAUCAUGUCUGCUAACUGCAAUGCCAAUGUGUUGAAGGUGUGGGACUUUCUGUAGUCAUAUUAGAGUUUAGUUUUGGCUGGAUUUAGUUGAUAGUUGCUUUUUUUGUCCACGUAUUCAGAAACUAUUGCAUUUCUUAGCUUCGCUUCCUAAAUCGAAGGGAGAUGAGGGUAGCUGGUCUUUGAUGAUGCAAAAGAUUUUACUAUCUUUGAUUGAUCUUCUGAAUAACACUUUAGAAGGCCUCGAAGAAAGUAUACUAAUCAAUUGCUCCCUCUUUUUUUUGUUUUAACUUUGUUUUGUUGUUAAAUAACAGCUUCAAGGUUAUGCUGCAGAAACAAGACGUAUAGACUAUAGAGGCUGUUACAUAAUUGGUUCUGCCAGGAAAAGACCCUCCAUCGUCCUUCAUUAAACAUAGGAGAGAAGUCCCAGAUAUGCUAAUAUCAUCCAUUGCUUCACUUGUGCAUUGUUGCUGCAUCAUGCUCACGAACUAUUAUCCUUCAGGAGAUGCGUUGCCAAGUGGAGAUUUAUGUUCUUAUCAUCGAACCUUCCCUUUCGGGAAUGGGGACAAAAGUAGGUGUCUACACCUGCAACUUUCUGUUUUGUGCCUAAAUAUGUUGGAUAUCCUUGCAGCAGUCUUUAAGGGUUUAUGCAGUCAGCUUUCUUAUUCAUUCUCGACCGAGGUUCGUCCUUUUUGCCCGAGUCUGGAAGAUAUUAUCUAUGUUAAGAGAUUGAUUGUGGAUAAUGUGAUAGGAGAACAUCGAUCACAAGCAUUCAUGAAGAUGUAUAUUUCAAAAUAAUGGUCUAGUGAUCAAAUCAACGAAGUGACAACUCAGUGGACGGGUCAUUUUCUUAUUUUGUGUUUUGUGUGUAGUUUUUCCCAUGGUGUACAAGAACGUGUAUACUCUAUGAAAAGUUUAUUUGAUAUAAUUAAGAAUGAUAGGACUUUUGUCGUAUAUUGUCGUUAAUGGAUUUUAAAAUCUUGCA
Spinacia oleracea (spinach) is the source of this 3607-nucleotide long non-coding RNA. RefSeq lists it as uncharacterized. NCBI's taxonomy places the organism in Eukaryota, Viridiplantae, Streptophyta, Magnoliopsida, Caryophyllales, Amaranthaceae. The transcript is spliced from 5 exons. The record is from RefSeq and is a predicted model, not a curated record.